UGCCAAAUUUCAAAGAGUAAAAACCUGGAGACCCCAAAAGUUGUUGAACUUUUUUUAGGAAGACCCCCCAAAUACAACCUUUUUUGGGGUAAACCCCAAAAUUAUUGAGCGUGGUUUUUUAUUUACAAAAACACCAAAAAACCCACGAUUUUUUGAUUGACUUGCUUAAGAUCCAGGGCAAAGCACCGCCUUUCAGAAAUCCCCCCUGGACUUCAAUUCCGCCUUUGAAAUCCUGGUAAUGUCCGAAAAAAUCCGGACUUGUGGCAGCCCUACUUUAUUAGGUUCUGAAUCUGGGAUGUAACAAAAUCUGAUGCAAAGCCUGUCUGUGUGUCCUGGGUGUGAGUUGAACACAUAUAGAACCCCUCUUGUUACAGAUGUUCCCCCCAAAAGACAGCAUAAGAGAAAAUGGCAACACAUGUCUUAUAUGAGAAAUACCUUAUAUAUGGUUCAUAUUUAGUUGUUAUAAUGUGCAUAUAUGUAAUAACUAUAGUAUCAGAAAUCUAAACUUCACUGUUACCGUUCCCAUAGCAAUCAAUCAUGUAGCUCGCUUCCCUUUGCACAAUGCUACAAUAUGGUGCUUGCAUGGAAGUAACUCGUAGGACAGCCGCACCAACACAUACCAAUGACUUUUACAUUUAUUUAUAAAAAGAACCUUUUUCUGAGACUCUAGAGAGCCAUUGGCAGUCAAAACAGACAAUACUGAGCCACAUGGACAAAUAGUCUGACAUGGUAUAAGGCAGUUUCUUAGGAUAGUAUCACCCAAUCUCAUAGGAAGUGAGUUAAUAGCCCUUAUACCCACUGUGCUUCUACAGUGGGUAUAGUCUCCAAUAAUCAUCAGAAGAUACAACUCCUCUCUCUCAAUCUCUCUCUCUCUCUCUCUCUCUGUCUCUCUCUCUCUCUCUGUGUGUGUGUGUGUGUGUGUGUGUGUGUGUGUGUGUUUUACAACAGGAUAGCCCUAAUUUUUAAACUGCUGCCCUCUAUUGUUGAAAUCUAUGGCCAUCCUGUUUGCUUUCUUUACAUUAGCAGCCACUAGAAUUUGAACAACUUUAAAUAAUUUCUGGAAUGAGAACCCCCUUUCUUUAAAAUGUCAUAAGCAAUUGUUGCCGGAGCAUGAACUUUUCAGAAUCAUCCCACUAAAAUUAAUUUGUCUGCCAGUUAAGAGAAGAGCACAAUGAUUUCUUUUAAAGCUCUGGGGUUUUGUUGCGUUUGGCAUAUCUGCAUUUGCAUCCCUAUUAUUUUUCAGUGAAUGUGAGAAAAAUGAUGUUUGACAGACCAGACAUUUCUUUGAAAGCUGCACAUUGAAUAUUUCCUUUGUGGUGCGCCCCCCUCCCAGUAUUAAAAUUUUCCAAGUGUUUGGCAAAAGUCAGUUACCCUGAUAAUAAAACUGUCUUUGCUAAAAUGUAAAAAAGAUGAAAAUGCUGGAAAUGGCUUUUGCUGUUUUUCGGUGUGGACAGCCAAAGUUGGCCUUUGAACAAGAGAAACUCAAUUUUUAAAUCAUAUAUAUAUGGAAUGGAAUGGAACUACUAUGUUAAAGUUGCUGAAAAUAUUGACUCUUGUUUGGAAGCAGCUCAAAAGAACUCACUCCUUUGAUUAUAGCCUGUUGGCUGUCUUGUAAUGACCCCAAAUUAUAUCAAAACAUCUAAGUAGUAAAGCCACAAUAGUCUUUAACUCCCAGCCAAGAGAGAGACUUUUCUCCCUCUCAGAUGCUUGGAAGCAUCUGAGGUCAAAUGGGAAGUCUGCUUAAUUUAAUCGCUGACAAAACCAUUGUCAUUACGUACUGCAUAUUAGUUGUGUGAUGGAUUCUCCUCCUCUUAAAGGUUUUUCAGUUCAUUUGAAGUCAUAGUAAAGGGAAAGAAAGGUGACUUGAAUUGGAGCCAAAAAAACCCCAAGCGUAUUGGGGUGGGUGGGGUGUUUCAUCUAAUAUUGGAAGGACUAUUUCGUCUAAUAUUGAAAGGACCAUGAGCUGUAGGGACAAUUAUGAUGUCUUGAUAAUGGAAUUUUAAACAGUGUGAGAUCGAAUGGCUUGACCUAUUUACAUAUAUUGCAAGCUAUUAAAGGAUUCCUUUGGGCUUAGCUACUGUUAUUCUUUAGAGGGAGGACAGGAAGUGGGUGAUAGAUUUAGGUUUCCUCCCCAGGAGGAUCUAGCUGGGUGACUGGAAGAGCUGGAACAGGAAUGAGCAAGCAGACACACAAACAGAGGCUGCUUCCAGACUGUCACUGUUUUAAGGCAGGAGUGAAUCAUGCACUGGCAAAUUCAGGUAGCACAAUUGAAGUUGAUUUGGAGGUCUUGCACAACAAACCUUAGAAUCAUAGAAUCAUAGAGUUGGAAGAGACCACAAGGGCCAUCGAGUCCAACCCCCUGCCAAGCAGGAAACACCAUCAGAGCACUCCUGACAUAUGGUUGUCAAGCCUCUGCUUAAAGACCUCCAAAGAAGGAGACUCCACCACACUCCUUGGCAGCAAAUUCCACUGUCGAACAGCUCUUACUGUCAGGAAGUUCUUCCUAAUGUUCUUCUUCUCCUAAUGCUUCAUGGAAAGCUGUGGGGAGAUGCUUUGGGAAGUAUGGGGUGACCUUUGCUUGACGCAAUGUAAUAUAUCCUUCCCGCAAGCAAAGGAGGAUGAAAGCUCAGUAGAUAUCUGAUGUCUUCUAACCUCCCCACAACAAAUCAAGAUAAAUGCUCAAUAAGCAGGUCACCUGGAAGUGACCUGAGUAUCAUGACACUGAGGAGAACCUCCAGAGCACAGGAGAAUCUGGAGACAAGAUAAAGAGUUUUCUUGGUGGCCAGCACAAGGCAGGAAGUUGCUCUAGGAAGAAUUUAUGGAUUGAUAGGUGGGCAGGGGCUUAGAAGGUCCCGGCGCACCUGUUUCCUUUCCCCAUCUAUAGUAGAAAAGACAAUUCUGGAAAUAUGUUGCAGAAAUUGAUUGAGGCUCAUAUAAUAAUUUGGCCUUCAUUGAUAGUGCUAAUGUGUUUAUUGCUGGAAGAAUUGUGUGAGCUAGAUACCAGACAGGACAAAGUGUUCCAUCUGUCUUUGGCUGGCUAGGAAAAAUCCCAGAUAUUGUUGAAAGGGAGAAUUG
This 3075-nucleotide long non-coding RNA is filed under the name Podarcis lilfordi (Lilford's wall lizard). Lineage: Eukaryota; Metazoa; Chordata; Lepidosauria; Squamata; Lacertidae. The record is from RNAcentral.